ACAAUACUUAUAAUGGUAGGUCUUUACUUUUCAAUUUUCAAUAAAAUUUGAAUCAUCACUCUGAUUAAUGCAUAGAUAACUGAAAAGCCACAUUGAAGGUUAGUGGUUAAGAGAAUGGGAAGUUGCCUGCUGAACUCUUUAAAUCACCUUGGUUCCAACACGGUUCAAAAUAAUCUCCCCAUUUCGCCAAAGCCGUCGCAGAGUGCCUCAAGAGAUGUUCAACUGCACCCCUUAAAAAAGUGUUCUAGAAUGGGAGUUAGACGUGAAGUCUCAAUCUCACUUGAUGGAGUAGGAGACAAGAACAUUAUGCAGCUCAAGAAGCCUAAAUGGCUCUCUUAUCUGUUCUUUACAACGAUAAAUACUAUUCUGAUGGACUUGCUUCCUCCAAUUUCACCAAACUAGGGUUUUUGACUAUUUUCAUGGUUAGUGGAGCAUUUGAAAUGGAUGUCGAGAACAAUCUUCACAUGCAAAAGUAAAUUGGAUAGCAAAAGUGGAGCAUUUCUGUAGUGAUAAGUUGGAUAGCAAAAGUAAGGACAAUCUAUCUCAUGGAAAGACUUUCUAUCAUGAAACCAGUAUGCUACACAACAUUUGCAAUGGUCUGGAAAAUUUUCUACAACCCAGAUAAGUUAGCUUUUUGACUACAUUGAAUAUGAACAAUUAUAAGCUUGAAUUCUUUGUUUUUGCCGCAAAGGUGUUGUAUCUAGAUACAAUUGAAUUUGGAACCAACUCCAAUGACUCUCCAUUAGGCGAAGAGUUGCGUGUGACAACAACAAAGAAUUUUGAUAGAAAAGAAAAGACGUUAAAAUAGUUGUUUCCGCUAAAAGGCCACGAAUUGAAUUAUGUCUUGAAAAUCAUAAUGGGUUGAACGCACAUGAGAAAUCAGAGAGCUCAUUUGCAUUUAGAAGUAACAUCUAUUACGAUCAUCUGCAUAAUUCUAUUUAUUUUACACUUACUGUUGUUCUAAAUUCUGCUCGCAUUCCACAUGUCAAUGUUGGUGGUGGUGCUGCUUGGUUGUCUUACCGUGGUAAUGCACUGGAUUUUUCAUUGUUGUUAAUAUACGAAACAGCUGAGCAUGUGGGAGAUUUGAGCCUUCACCUCCAGCUCAUAUAACUGCUGCUGGCUUUGGAGCACUAGUACAAAAAUGUUAAUUUACACCCGUUUUUUAUUAAAUUUACACCCAUUAUUUUUAAUAAAAAUCGGGUGUAUAUCCACAGGGUGAGAAAUGUCUAACGCAUUUACACCCUAUUUUAAAACGGGUGUAAAUACGUUCGUAAUUACUCCCUAUUUUAAGAAUAUCGGGUGUAAAUAUGUUCUACGUUACACCCUAUUUUAACAAA
Long non-coding RNA from Vicia villosa (hairy vetch), 1337 nucleotides. RefSeq lists it as uncharacterized. NCBI's taxonomy places the organism in Eukaryota, Viridiplantae, Streptophyta, Magnoliopsida, Fabales, Fabaceae. The transcript has 3 exons. The record is from RefSeq and is a predicted model, not a curated record.